GACGAACGCUGGCGGCGUGCUUAACACAUGCCAGUCGAACGGAAAGGCCCUGCUUUUGUGGGGUGCUCGAGUGGCGAACGGGUGAGUAACACGUGAGUAACCUGCCCUUGACUUUGGGAUAACUUCAGGAAACUGGGGCUAAUACCGGAUAGGAGCUCCUGCUGCAUGGUGGGGGUUGGAAAGUUUCGGCGGUUGGGGAUGGACUCGCGGCUUAUCAGCUUGUUGGUGGGGUAGUGGCUUACCAAGGCUUUGACGGGUAGCCGGCCUGAGAGGGGGACCGGCCACAUUGGGACUGCGAUACGGCCCAGACUCCUACGGGAGGCAGCAGUGGGGAAUAUUGCACAAUGGGCGGAAGCCUGAUGCAGCAACGCCGCGUGCGGGAUGACGGCCUUCGGGUUGUAAACCGCUUUCGCCUGUGACGAAGCGUGAGUGACGGUAAUGGGUAAAGAAGCACCGGCUAACUACGUG
This 468-nucleotide ribosomal RNA is filed under the name uncultured bacterium. Its description in RNAcentral is "partial 16S ribosomal RNA". It matches the Rfam family "Bacterial small subunit ribosomal RNA", at positions 28 to 507 of the family's 1533-position model. The record is from RNAcentral.